RNAcentral lists this small RNA (77 nucleotides) under Lactobacillus delbrueckii subsp. delbrueckii. Lineage: Bacteria; Bacillati; Bacillota; Bacilli; Lactobacillales; Lactobacillaceae. The record is from RNAcentral.
UCGAUUCUGCAACCGCGCAGAUAAGGUUGACAAGCCUGCUUUGGGCAGCACCUUUGAUGGCGAGUCUAAGUAAUUUU